GAGGGAGAAGCUCAGUGGCAGAGUGUGUGCUUAGCAUGCACAAAGCCAUGGGUUCCAUCCCCAGCGCACACA
This 72-nucleotide transfer RNA is filed under the name Heterocephalus glaber (naked mole-rat). It matches the Rfam family "tRNA". From Rfam's summary of the family: Transfer RNA (tRNA) molecules are approximately 80 nucleotides in length. Their secondary structure includes four short double-helical elements and three loops (D, anti-codon, and T loops). The record is from Rfam by way of RNAcentral. Lineage: Eukaryota; Metazoa; Chordata; Mammalia; Rodentia; Bathyergidae.